Non-coding RNA from Plutella xylostella (diamondback moth), 367 nucleotides. NCBI's taxonomy places the organism in Eukaryota, Metazoa, Arthropoda, Insecta, Lepidoptera, Plutellidae. The record is from RefSeq and is a predicted model, not a curated record.
CACCGCUCCCAUACUUAUACAUUAUAAUUAUAAUUUUUUUUUGUAGGAGAAUAUGACUGUACAGGAUGUUGCUCACGGUCCCAGCUGCCUGGUUGAAUUUCAAUCAACUCCUGCAAAUAUGAAUAUCCCAGAUGCUGUUCCUGGUCCAAGCGGUGUCACUCAACAAAUGCCACUAACAGACAUCCCGGAUCAAGAAAAUACAACUACAGGCCAACCAUUGUGGUCAAGACGGCGUCGACCUCAAAUGGGUGCCAGGCAUGAGAGAACAGAGGCGCUGGAAAAUAUAACCUCCAGCUUUUGCAAUGUUCAGCAGCAGAAAUUGACCUAUGAACAAUUGAAAGUUCAAUUGCUGAUGGACGAGAAAAUA